RNAcentral lists this long non-coding RNA (2998 nucleotides) under Pongo abelii (Sumatran orangutan). RNAcentral describes it as "lincRNA". Lineage: Eukaryota; Metazoa; Chordata; Mammalia; Primates; Hominidae. The record is from RNAcentral.
CGCCCUCCGCAGACCUCAGCGCAGCGGCCGCGGGCGCGAGGGGAGGGGUCUCGAGCUCCCUCCGGCUGCCUGUCCCGCACCGGAGCCCGUGGGGUGGGGAGGUGUGCAGCCUGUGACAGACAGGGGCUUAGAGAUGCAAACAGACUCAGGGAGAGAAACAGAAGCUGAUUCUGUGACAGAAGCAGAUCUGUGCAGCACAGAUGCGGUGUGCGUGGGGAGGGGGUCGCCUGGGAGCGCAUUGCGGAGUGCUUGUGUGUGCAGAUUUUUCUCUGGGUUCAGGACUCAUUGCAUGUGGGUCAACACCUUCCUCCGUGACUGUGUUUUUGUUCUGAGCUGAGUUUUUUGGUUUGCCCUUAAAAAAAUAAUAAUUUGGCAUCCAGAGACUGGCAGACUGCCUCAGGGCCUGGACUGCGGAUAUAUUGUGUUCUGCUUGAGGUUUGGGGAGGAGGGCAGGCGGUUGGAAGGGAGAGGGGGAGCUGUUUGUCACCCUUUGCUGUAGAGCUGAGAGCACCUGACAAACUUAAGGAAGUCGUUGGGCUAUGUGGACAAGAAGGAGCCAGCUCCCAGCGGGUUCACAAGCUCCAUCGGAGCUGAAAGCAUGGCCAUGGCUCUAAGGAGCACCUCACGCCCUCCCUGUAGCUGUUAUUGCAGUUUCAGGCAGAGAUCCAGGAGCUGCAGAGGAAGGGAGAGGCACAAUAACCUACAUGGACCCAAGGGAGACAUGUGUUCCUUUAAAAAUGUGAACAGAAGGAAAAACAGAAUGUGUGCAAGUGGGGGUCUGAGGAAAGACUGUUUUGAAAGAGGCUGUCAGGGAAUGGAAAGGGUUAAGCUUUUCAUCCUGAAGAACCUGCUUCCCAAAUCAGGCCUUCCUCCCAUCACUAGACCCUGAGCAGCAGCUGGUCCUAGAGACCCCCCUCGUACUGCGCUGCCACAAUCUCAUCCCGUUUCCAGCUCUGUAUUAACCACCAAGCUGCAGCCGAUGGGGCAAGACCUAAGCUCAUUAAUUUCCAGGUGGAGGAAAUGGAGGAGGGGCAGGUCCCUGCAGUAGAGGGAGGAGCAGAGAAAGGAGGCCAAGAGCUGGAUCCUUCUGCCCAGGAAGCCUGCUGCAUCCCUUCCCCCAAGCAUGGCAGAGGCCUGGCUUUGCAAGGCCAAGGCCAUAAGGGAUGCUUAGGAGAUUAAUUUGCUUCCUGACACAGUAAUCAAGGCCUAAGAGUCUCCAUUGAAGAUUACUGAGGACUUCUUUCCUCUCCAAAGCCUCAGUCUAGCCUGCUAAAUAAAUUAGUAUUCAGUGAUGCCUUGGAUCAGGGCCCCUCCCCGGCCUCAGUUCCCCCAAAUAUUUAUUGAGUACCUACUAUGUGCAAUCCUUGUGUAAUUAUUCCCUCUUAGGCUCUUCAUUUGCCCUCCUAAGGCAGUGUUUAGAGUCAGGCAGAGGUUCAGUGUGUUGCACCCCACCUAGAUACUUCCAGAACCUUCUCUGGGUCUGCAGAAUGUGGCACAACCUGCUUGCCCCCGCAGAGAGAAAGCUGCAGUGCACAUCCUGCAGACUGCAGGUGCUGGGCUGCCUCUGGAGUCCCAGAAGGCAAGCUUGGCUACAGGACAGAAAGGGAGAACAGCUUCUCUCACCCCUGAGCCUUAACAAGCCCUUGUCUAUUUGCCAUUGCCUUCAAAAUAUACCUCCCCUGAAACUAGUAGCUUCCUGAGUCCUGGUGUCCCCUCCGCCCUUUCUGGACAGGUUUGGGAAGAAGAAAGCAGUCAGUGCUGGGCCUUAUUGGGGUGUAAAGCCCCUUGCUCUGCCCCCUCUGCUCACUGUGAAGGCUGCUGUAUGCUUCUCUUAGGCAUGGUUUAAGCCUUCGAUUACUAAACCCCUUGCCCCACAAAUGUCCACAUUGACGAGCCUCUUUUUAGUAAUUGCUUCCCCGUAAUUCCUUCAGAGGUUGCUGUACCCUUCGCUGAUGUGCCCUCCGGUAAAAUCUCCAGAUGCCUUCCCACGUAAUGCCCCUUUCAGAUGCUUUAAGCUGAGAGCUUAAACCACAGGUACCAUGGCUGACGCCUGCCAGGUUUCUGCUGCGGAUAAUCUAUGAUGGGAGGGGCAUAUUUUCUACUUCAUUACUUAUGUAAACUCUUGCUCCAGAAAGCUUUAAUGUGUGUGGGAGUGUUCUGGGUCUACUAGGUCUGUGUGCAUGGGUGUGGGCAUUUGCCUGUGUCCACCGGGUCGGUCUCAUUAUGAAAUGUAUGUUUAUGUAGGGCUUUAAUGGCUGAAAAUGGCAAAGAGAUGAAUGGACCACUUGGCCCCAUGUGUACUUGCCAGGCCCCUUCUGUGCUCAAAUGAGGUGUCCGAGUGAAGGUCAGCCCUUCCCUUCUGUAUUUGGGGCCUAUUUAUGCCACCAGUAAUUUUACAAGAAACCUGAUUAUUUCUCCCCUUUGAGUGCAUUUAACUCUUUAAUAUCUUCCCUCUUACCUAUUUGAGCCCCUCUAGCUACAGUCUAUGGCUUAAAUGAAAGGGAAAUUAUAUGGUUAAGAAAAAGUAGGACACGGUUGAGGCAGUUUGCUGACUGAAUACGCAAAGAAGGCCCUGAUGGGCUCAUAUGCACCACCGCUAUCACAGUCCUCAUCGUGAUGCAAGCUUAUAUGAGUCUUGAGGUAAACUCUACCAGAUACUUCCGGAUUUAGAAAUGUAUCAAAGGAAAAAUUGGUGAUACUCUUCUUUCCCCUGCCAGAAACAGCCCAGAUCUCCGCUUAAGCGGAAAAGAGAUUGACCUUCUAGCAGAGGCAAAGAAUGGAGUCUUCUGGGGGCAGCUGCAAAGCGUUCUCCCUAGGACAGAUGGAGCCUCCCUUUCCUCAUCUACUCUGUGGGUGGUUUCAGGGCCCAUGAGUCAACAUGAGGAGUUGUGCUGGUGGUAUGUGUGUUGGAGGCUGGGCUGGCUGAUUCACAGUGACGAGGAUGUCAAUAAUAACAAUAAUGAGAAUGAUGGUACCUAAUAAAGACUUUUUUUCUCAA